GACGAACGCUGGCGGCGUGCUUAACACAUGCAAGUCGAACGGAAAGGCCCUGCUUUUGUGGGUUGCUCGAUUGGCGAACGGGUGAGUAACACGUGAGUAACCUGUCCUUGACUUUGGGAUAACUCCUGGAAACUCGGGCUAAUACCGCAUAGGAGCUCCUGCUGCAUGGUGGUGGUUGGAAAGUUUCGGCGGUUGGGGAUGGUCUCGCUGCUUACCCGCUUGUUGGUGGGGUAGUGGCUUACCAAGGCUUUGACGGGUAGCCGGCCUGAGAGGGUGACCGGCCAAACUUUGACUUCGAUACGGCCCAGACUACUACAGGAGGCAGCAGUGGGGAGCAUGUCGCGAUGGGCGAUAGCCAGAUGCUACAACGCCGGGUGCGGAAUGACCGCCUUCGGGGUGUGAACCGCUUUGGCCAGUGACGGACCGUGAGUGACGGUAACGGGUAAAGAAGCAACGGCUAACUACGUG
RNAcentral lists this ribosomal RNA (468 nucleotides) under uncultured bacterium. RNAcentral describes it as "partial 16S ribosomal RNA". It matches the Rfam family "Bacterial small subunit ribosomal RNA", at positions 28 to 507 of the family's 1533-position model. The record is from RNAcentral.